This is a long non-coding RNA of Athene cunicularia (burrowing owl), 4094 nucleotides long. The record is from Ensembl. Lineage: Eukaryota; Metazoa; Chordata; Aves; Strigiformes; Strigidae.
CUAGCAGAUUGCAUCCUGUAUAUAAUCUCUGGUAAGAUCUAAGUUUAUUUCUUUUAUUUACCAGGUGUAUUACUCCUGUGGUGCAGUGGUGGAGUCAAUGGAAAGAGGCCUGAUUUUAUCACCAGGUUUUCCAAACAACUACUACCCAGGGACACACUGCGUUUGGCAAUUUUUCAUUCCCAUGAGAACCCAUCUUAUCUUGGAAAUUUUUGACUUUGACAUCUUUGAGAGCUCUAGUGAACCUCAACCCCCCUGGGAAGGCUUUUCAGCCCCCACUAAAACAGGAAAUAAGGACGUACCUUUUCCUGGGGAAAACCUGGACUUGGCUCUCCAUACUACAAAACCCUCUCUCCAGACCUGGAUGUCAAAGGUGGCUCAGAAUCUGAGCACAGGAGAUCAGUCAAAGGACCUUGCUAGUCAUGUGGAUGAACUUCCAGGAUCAGCCUCAAAAAAAGAUGAAGCUAAACAAGCAUCUGAAGAAAACCAGUCAAAGCAGAUGAAGGAACCCAAAGUGAUGACCAAGGCUCAGCCAGAAGAACUGCCACUCCCUGUGGCUGGUAGUGCCACAACACGGAGGCAAAAUACCAGUGGCCUGGAAAGAGAAGAAGAUUUGAAAGGGAAAAUAUUGCUUGCCCACCUUGCUGCUAGUGAGAGAGAUGAAGUUACAGUAGAGACCUGGACUCUUCCCACAACACUAUUGCCUGUGGAAAUCUCCUCCAGCCCACAGUCAGCAGUGGAUGUCUGUCCCCAUGACGUACUAUACGUUUCUGAUCUCAUCACAUUUUCCUCUCGCUUCUGUGGACCAAAUUCACCUUUAAACAAGACCAUGGUCUUUGGUUCAUCUCUGGAAAUGGUUGAGGUUAUCAUGGAACUGAUCACUACCACAGACCGGGGCCGAGGCUUUGCAAUGCUCUUUGAAUACAAGAACAUCACUGAACCUAACACUGUAGAUGCUGUGAGGCAGGAGAGAAAGGAAAACAUGAUGAUGCUGGCAAUUAUAACAGGGACCGUCUUCUUUGCACUUGCUUUGCUCUCUGCCCUCUGCAUAGCUUGGAGAAUGGGAUCCAGAACUCCGCCGUCGAUAUCAAUGAGCUCCAGCUGGUGGUGCCAAGUCGGGAGAAUGAAAACAACAACCACUCUGUCAGCCGGGAGCAGGCGGGACAAAAACCUAAAAAGAAGUGUCACAAGCCCAGCCUCUGUGUCUGACUGGCUGACUUCUAAUCACACAGCUGCAGGAGCAGAUGCUGUUGAGAAGGGAAAUGUCCAGCUGGAAAAUCAGUGUCCCAGACAACGCACGUGGAGUGCCCGCACUUUCCAUGACUUCCUGGCUCCAAUACCACAGCUACAGAAAAAAUGGUGUAGCUGGACCACCAACAGUCCCUUCACAAAGCUGGUUGACAGCAGUGGUUUUCCUACAGCUGCAAGAUCCCAAGGUGUCCCAACUAGAAAGGUAAUCUCAGCCACUGAGAUAGAGGGAGCAUCAGAGACCAUUUACUCUGAUUCAUCUGCCAGUAAUGCCUCAUAUCCCCUCACUCUGUCUGCACAAAGGCAGAGGAAGCUAAGUUCCUGCAAUUUGAAGAAAUCCAGGUUUGGGAAUCCUUAUUUUGGAUUUUUAGCCAGUUCCCCUGACAGCAAAAAUGUGAGGUCCCUGGAUCCCUCAAGACAUCUAGGGGCAGCAUCUUCAGUUAACAGCCAAAGCCCCAAAAAUCUUCUAGAGAGCUCCAAUCCACUGAAAAUCAACUUGGUCAAUGGUUCAAAAACAAAAGAGCCCAUGGUAGAAACAGAUAAAAACAAACCGGUUUUUGUUAUUUCGGAAGAAGGGGACGAUCAGCAGCCUCUGGUCCUAGCAGAACAUCUUAAUCAAUGUGGAGAUCAUCUGUCAGAGCAAAAUGCUGUGUAUGCUCCAGCUGUGCCAGAUAAACAGCCAGCGGUUCUGACUGUUGAGGGCAAGAAUUCUGCCAGCUUCACGUCAAAUCUUCCCCUUUGGGCAAAAUCCCCUAGUUUAUACAAAGGUCACGUGAAGGCCCCUAGCUCUUUUAGGGACCAGCAGAGCUCAUCAGCUGUAGAUGCUACUACUACUGAGACCCCUCAGAACUGUGAGACCCUAGCUGCUCCUACGCUAUGCCAAGCUUCAGUCCAGUGAUGCCCUCAGAAAGACUGAAACAUCGGUUCACAAAAACAGAGGCAACAGGGACGUGACCAGAGUGGAAGCUGUGCCAAGUAGAUGAGCGUGGCAGUCAUAGAUGGAUGCAACUCCGUUAAGAGCAGGCUCUGCUUCCCACCCGUUGGGACUGAGAUGACAAGGAUACGUACCAUAGCACAGCACAGAUGCCAUCUUCCCCCUGUGCUCAUUAACCUCAUCUCUAUUCUGCUGCAUGAAAUUUUGAUGUGGUUUAUACAAGCAAGCAUCCUCUGAAAAGGUACUUCAGACUGCAGAAAACCUUUUCUGGAAUGAGGAAUGAAAGUCAUCUGAGAUGGUUACAUCGUGGUUUAUAUCUGAAAUGUAAAUCAGUCCUCUGUUACUGUGGUAUCACUUGAGUCUUUCUGUUGGGAGCUAUGAGUUAAAUUCUGUUUAUAGCUACGCCUGUACAAUCCAAGCCUUGCCAAGCCAAGGGUAAGAAUUCAAUCAUGCAUGUUUGCGUACAGUUUUGUAAACUUAAUUUUAAGCAUUUCAUAACUUCUGCACUCUAGCACAAAGUUUACCAAGCAUUAGCAUCUCUAAUAUUAAAGACCAUGAUUAUCUCAUAUCCUAACUCUUUAGAGAAGUGUACAGACAAGCUGAGCAACUCAAUACUGGAUGCUAGUUCUAUAAAAGUCUCAUGUAGCUUUAUCUUUAUUAGAUCUACAUAGGCUUAAAACACCUCAGUCCACCACAUCUUUAAGUGGCUCCUCAUGGCAACAGAAGCAUGUGUACAAAAACACUGAAAUACUAGGAAUAGCCUUCAGCAUCCAACACUUGGAUACUUGCAGCUGCUCUUAUCCUAUAUCCACCAGCUAUUUAUUGCUGGUAACGCACAUUGACUAGAGAACUAUUUCCCUUCCUUUAGCAGGCAAGACUUAAAAGAUACAAUUAAGUGGGGCAAAAUUUGAGUGCUCACUUUCUUUAGAAACGAACUACUAAGUGGCUGUGCCUCCCUGAUUACAUAUCCAGGGCAUUCAACGGAAUACUGAACCAAAGGGAAGCCUGCUAGUCCUAUUGCCUUUACUAAAUCCAUCAGUAUUUUAAUUGCCUCCUGGUGAUAUUUUCCUAUCUUUGCAAGAGACUCCUGCAUGUUCAUCCCCCAACUUAGCAAAAAAACCCCAACCAACUUUCUUAAAUGAAAUACAUUCCCUAAGAAGCUGUAUUUUGCAGCUGACACAGUACAUUGUUUUAAAGCAAUGUUAUAUCAUAAAACAGGUGUCAGAAGGGAAUCUUCCAUACAAGUCUUCCCCUAUAUUAGCUACAGCAUGCAUCGAGUUAUCUUAAUCCUUCUAUGUGAAGGCAUUUCGGUCUGAUUCCUGAAAUAUUUAGCUGAAUUAUUUAUGAUUUCACCUGCUAUUACAGCUUCCAUUUGCCACUUAUUAAUGUCUAGGAUAGGCAACACAAGGUUGUAGGUUUUGCCUUUAUAUUUUGUGUGUAUGUUUACGUGUCUACGUAGACAUAGAAGCCUUGCAUCUGGUAGUGGUGGAAGCAAAAACAUAUAUGCCCUUUAACAGUUGACUCAAACACGUACAGCAAACAAGUCUCCAUAUUUGUUAUUACCAGACUGGAUUGAGUAGUUCUGAAGCACAGAAGUCUGGCUCCAAGUUGGGGUUUUUUUGUUGUUGUUUUUGCUGUUUUUAAAUUAAUGCUACACGAUUCAAAGGGAAGAGUUAAUAUAUUUAUGAUUUAAGAAAAUAUUUAGAAUAGUCUUUAGUACUCUAAUAACAACUUCCAUUACAUUAAAUUCAUAUACAUUGUAAUUCAGUCAGUGUUCUGUUACUUACUACAUUUCUAAUGAUUGAAGUACUAAAAGUCUACUUCUGAAAAGUACUUGUGUUCAGUUAUUGACAAUAGCUAUAUUUGAAGGGCUGGAAAAAGGGGCUUUUUCAAUAAAAGUGUGUUUAACUAUUCA